AUACGUAGGGUGCGAGCGUUGUCCGGAAUUACUGGGCGUAAAGAGCUCGUAGGUGGUUUGUCGCGUCGUCUGUGAAAUUCCGGGGCUUAACUCCGGGCGUGCAGGCGAUACGGGCAUAACUUGAGUACUGUAGGGGAGACUGGAAUUCCUGGUGUAGCGGUGAAAUGCGCAGAAAUCAGGAGGAACACCGGUGGCGAAGGCGUGUCUCUGGGCAGUAACUGACGCUGAGGAGCGAAAGCAUGGGUAGCGAACAGGAUUAGAUACCCUGGUAGUCCAUGCCGUAAACGGUGGGCGCUAGGUGUAGGGGUCUUCCACGACUUCUGUGCCGUAGCUAACGCAUUAAGCGCCCCGCCUGGGGAGUACGGCCGCAAGGCUAAAACUCAAAUGAAUUGACGGGG
This 398-nucleotide ribosomal RNA is filed under the name uncultured bacterium. RNAcentral describes it as "partial 16S ribosomal RNA". It matches the Rfam family "Bacterial small subunit ribosomal RNA", at positions 523 to 918 of the family's 1533-position model. The record is from RNAcentral.